Long non-coding RNA from Chelonia mydas (Green sea turtle), 3136 nucleotides. RefSeq lists it as uncharacterized. NCBI's taxonomy places the organism in Eukaryota, Metazoa, Chordata, Testudines, Cheloniidae. The record is from RefSeq and is a predicted model, not a curated record. The transcript is spliced from 2 exons.
UAAUAGUUUUAUUUUUAUUAUGACAUCUACAAUACAUUCAUCCUUAACAUAUGAUAAUUAUUAUGUAUUUCCAUUCCAAAAUUUGAUAGAUACAUUGACAGGGAUUAAAUUAUUUAUAACAUCUUCUUUAUUCAACCAAAAAUGCAGCAUAUGAUUGUUUCUGGAAUUUUCAUACUCUAUUUGCAUCGUUGUAUAAACUAUACAGUUAAAUGAUUUAAGAGGCAACUUUAUCCAUUUAGAAUGGAAUUCUACACCAUCUGUAAUAUUGCAAAACAGUGAUUACACCUGCACAGAAAUACACAUUGGUAAGGCAACUACAAUCAAGUGUUGCAUCAUAUUCCCCCAACAUUUUAUGCAUCCAGGUUACAUGUUUCAACUGUGGUUUUCCCAGCAGUGAGAUCAUUUAAAGAAAGUUAUAUUUGCACCACAUAGAGUUUUGAAAUAUUAGAUAUGAAACAAUAAUAUUUUCCAUUUUAUGUACAAAAUUAUCCAAAUGUAUUGCAGGGUAAUAUACGUUUUAUUUUCAGUAGCAAGAUCUUCACUUAUAACUUGUUAUAAUGAUCGUUACCACGUUUGCAUUUGUUUUCUUUAAAGAAAGACUAUCAACAAUACACUUCCUCUUCUAUGUAUAAAAGAAUUAAUUUCCCACAAUUAUUUUGGAAAAGGAGAGUGUUAAAGGGGGAGAUUAAAACUUGGCUAAAGCCAGGUAAUGUACGCCACCAGUUUGUGGUAGCUUCCCCCAUCACAUCUCAAUUUUAGAGCCUGCCUGUGUAUUCUCAAAUAUCCAUAUUGUCUCCAUUUACUUCAGUUAGUUACACACGUGGGCCCCAAUCUUAUGUAUGUGAGUAGUCCCACUGACUUCCAGUUACAAAUGUGUGUAUGCAAAAUUGGAGAUAGGAGCACAUGCAGAAUCAAAUUUUUCAGACUGCCAGUACAGCUAAAUUAUAUGGUAGUCAUGUAAUGUAAACAAAUGUCCACCUGGAAUUCAAAUCUCUAGGGCCUCCCAUAGGAAACCUAGUUUUUGCUUAAUAAAGAAUAAAGGAUUAGGAUCUAGAUUAAAUUAACAGUAUAUAUAAAUAAUACACAAGAUGACACGUGAGCACACAGCAAUAAUUUCAAGGCAGUGCAUACGGUUUUAAUUUUCCAUUCUGUACUUCUUACUGUGGUGGAUUAACAAAAUGGGGUUUGAAGGGGAAAAGAGAAAUCAAUUAUUUCACAAGAGAAAGGCAAAGUGUAAGGGUUGCCAGUUUUGGCUUCAAUCUUGCAAUCAGAUCUGUUUAGGCAGACCCUUGUGUUUAUAUGACAGAUCCUAUUGCAAGAUCAAGGUAGUUUGUUAGUUUGUUUUUAUUUUUCAGCAUCUGAGUUGCUGUACCCAAUUCUGAAAAGGUUUUGGGCUUUUUGAGAUUGUUUUUUAAAUAUUCCAUAUGAAAGAUACUGUUAGGAUGUAAACUGUUUAUUCCUGGGGCAGGGAUGUCUUCUCUUAUGUUCUAUGCAUUACCAACCACAUACAAGUAAUAAUCGAAAUACUAAAAGAAAAAAGUUGAAAUUUAGAAGUGAUAUCAAUAGAUGGCCGGUAGAAAUUACUAGGAUAUAUUUGUUUAAUUGUAUCUUAUAAUUACAAAAAAUAAAAUGUCCUGAUACAGUCUAGAUGUGCACAUAGCUAUAAUGUGUGUAACUACCUGUUGCUAUCAUUUUUAUCUUCAUGAUCCCUCCAACAGUUCAUCCUAUUGUUUGUUACGCCCAUCUAUUGAAUCUUGACUUAAACUAGUUCCUAGGCUUGCCACAGUCACAUUUCCACUGACAGACUUUAACACCUGCAUUGGUCUAAUUGAAGAAUAGGAGCUUAUUUGUGUGCAGCACACAGCAAAAUGGGUCUUCAAUUCUCUAGGUGCUAAAGUAAGAUAAAUAAAUAAUAAAGUGCCCAAUCAGUAAGGAAUUAAAUACAAAAGAUAAUCACCUUUGAAAUAAUAGUCUUUUAGCUGGAAUGUUUAACAAUGCUCAUUUAAUAAACAUCAUUUACGUAAUGUAAUGUAGACCUGUUCAUAUAACCAAACUAAAACCAUACACCUUUACUUACUGUAUAAGAAAAUUAGCUUAUUUCCCGUCAAAUGCUGUCCCUUUACUGCAUUUAGAUAUUCUGUCCCAAUAUGUGAUUUUUAACACAAAUUUGACACAUUUCACUGCAAUUGCUGUUUCAAAAAGAGCAACAUCACGUACUUAGAUGGUAAACUCCUUGGACAGGGACUCUUUGUUAUGUGUUUUGUACAGCACCUAGCACAAUCCGGGGGCCUCCUCCGACUGAACUCCCGGGGUGCUGCAAGUACGCCACCGCACUCAGCCAGCGCCCCGCGCAUGCGCAGUCGGUCUACCGCUCGCUCUCUUGCGACACGCGCACGUGGGGCGCCUCUCUCUCUCGAUGCCGGUUGCAUCACCCGGCUUCGGGGUCCUUCCUGAGGCUGCCCGUCGCUCGCCUGCGCCACUGCCGCGCUCCCCUGGUGCCCCCACCGGAGCAGCGAAGACCAGAGCGGGACGAGACUGGGCCGGGUGCUUCCCGCAUAGCCCGCGGCGCCGGACUCGGAGCGGGCGGCGCCCUCCAGCCCGUGUAGCGCCGAGCUCAGGCGGCCGCGUAGGGCUCCUCACUUCCUCUUGGGCAAGAUGGCGGGGGACGAGGCGGGAUUGACUCUGGGGCAGCCGCACCUCUCCCGGCAGGACCUGGCCACCCUGUACAUGAAUUGCAGGACGUGCCUGAAUCCUGUGGCAGUCAGACCUUUUCAAAUGGAUUUUAUCUUGAUCUCGCUCCCUCAUGUCAGCUGUGAACAUAAUCCUGAAGUAAUCACUCUGGGUGGCAAGCAAUGCUUUAUGGGCCUGAAACGGGUGGUCUUCAAUGACAAGAGUGACGUCAAGAAGCAAUCCCUCCUCAUACAGUGCUCUGAACCCAGCAGAGACACUGGUAUCAUGGAUGGAGGAGCUAAACCCUUCCAAGUCCCCUGCCAUGAAUCACCUGAAAAAAAGGAAUCAAAGCAGAAAGUGUUAUUUCUAAGAGUUUAUAUAAUACAAGCUUUUCCAGACCAGAUGAACCUUAACAUUAAUAUCAACGUGUUAAAUGUCAAUGAAAAUAAAUUAUCUACGAUAAAAA